CCUACGGGGUGCAGCAGUGGGGAAUAUUGCACAAUGGGGGAAACCCUGAUGCAGCGACGCCGCGUGAGUGAAGAAGUAUUUCGGUAUGUAAAGCUCUAUCAGCAGGGAAGAAAAUGACGGUACCUGACUAAGAAGCCCCGGCUAACUACGUGCCAGCAGCCGCGGUCAUACGUAGGGGGCAAGCGUUAUCCGGAUUUACUGGGUGUAAAGGGAGCGUAGGUGGCAUGGUAAGCCAGAAGUGAAAACCCAGGGCUCAACUCUGUGGAUUGCUUUUGGAACUAUCAAGCUAGAGUGCUGGAGGGGUAAGCGGAAUUCCUAGUGUAGCGGUGAAAUGCGUAGAUAUUAGGAGGAACACCGGUGGCGAAGGCGGCUUACUGGACAGAAACUGACACUGAGGCUCGAAAGCGUGGGGAGCGAACAGGAUUAGAUACCCCAGUAGUC
This 441-nucleotide ribosomal RNA is filed under the name uncultured bacterium. Its description in RNAcentral is "partial 16S ribosomal RNA". It matches the Rfam family "Bacterial small subunit ribosomal RNA", at positions 338 to 795 of the family's 1533-position model. The record is from RNAcentral.